This 222-nucleotide long non-coding RNA is filed under the name Vigna radiata. RNAcentral describes it as "long non-coding RNA (VRAD_LNC003226)". The record is from RNAcentral. Lineage: Eukaryota; Viridiplantae; Streptophyta; Magnoliopsida; Fabales; Fabaceae.
GGAGAGUGAUUAAGUUGGAAUAUAUAUUUAUGGUGAUGCUCAGCGGCUUUGGUUGAUUGUGCCAAUGCUAUAUAUAAAAAAGCUGGAAUAUAUUUGCUUAGUAGCUACCAAAGCAAAGCAUUAAAUAAAGCUUUCUUUACCUUCUCUUUUGCAUUUGGCUGGUCCUCAUCAACAUCAGAUAAGAUUACCAUUACAACAUAUCAGAUUCAACUACAGUACCCU